AAGAAUGGAAAAUGAAGUUUGAUGGCAAGUUCAAAAUUACAAUGGAUUUAAAAAGAAUGAAAUGAUUGAAUUAACAUUAAGGACUCGAGUAUCUCUCUGCACUACAAGUAAUUGGAAUUCAGAGUUAUGCAGCCGAAGCCCUUCAUUGGCCUGGACUCAGCAAAGUUGCUGGGUGACUUUGCAGAAGAGAAACAGACAGAAACAUCCCCCCGAUUUAGAGAAAAAUCAAAGGGAAAAGAGCUACAUAGGGACUUAUAGAGAGAGAGGUUUUUUUUUUAAUAUAUAUUUUUCACUUUUUUGUAUAUUUCUAGCAGCAAUAACGUUUAUAAAUAGCAAAACUAAUUAGAGUGGUUGAGUUUCCAGACCUGCAGAAAAAAACUUGUAAGGAAUGUCUGAUAAGGAACAUUAAGUAAGAUGAGGAAUAAGAAAGGUUGAAGAGCUUCAAAUCAAUUGGAAUUUAAAGUUUAAAGUCCUGGGCUUUGGAACUCCAAAUGAUCCUUAAAGAAAUUGUGGUAUCCCUUUAAGAGCCAUUUGGUGCAAUUCAUAGCCUGAUUCAUGUCACCAGCUGCCUCUGAUUUCAGUGAGAAAUGCAGAAAUUUAUAGGGAACUGUAAAAUGGGGACAGGUUUUGAGUUUUCUAAAUUGGGGUUUCACAGGAAAACUUCUGAAACCACAGAGCUGGGCUGUGGGAAGCCGGUUUCUUUUCCGGUCAGAACAAAUAAACACACAAAUACAUAUCUAACUCUCAAAGUGUUGGGAGAGAGGACUCAAUGGUCUUUGCAGAAGAGGAAAAGGAAAAAUCAGCCUUGUGGGCAACGGGAGGAGGUCACAUUGACCAGUAGGCAGCACCCUGCGCUGGCAGAGGGAGAAAUUCGAGCUUCAGCUGUGCCCGCCAGAGCAGGCUUUGCACAAACUCCAGCUUCCUAGGGGCAUGUCUCCCGUGCAUCCAGCCUCCCCUUCAGUGGAAGAGAACCUCCACCCCGGCCACCCACAGGACAUGCAGGACAUCAGCAAAAGAACAUGAAUUACACAGAAAGAGCCAACUAAGAAGGCAACGCUAGCAUCGACCCUAGGAAGAAAACAUGUUGCAAAUGCCAAAGCCUCGGACUAUCUGCAAACGACUACAGGUUUUCCUGUGAGCCGAACCCCUAGCAGACAGCAUGUGGGAGCACCAAGUUCUGCAGUUAGUUACUUGUCUCUCCCCACUUAAAAGCAACUCGGUGCCAUUUACCAACUCAGAGUAUGCAGAGGUCCAGUCCAGCCUAGGAAGGACCCCUCAGUGCCAGGAGGCCAGGAGCCCCAGAGGUAUAGCAAGACCUGGGCCCAUGUAUGUGUCUGUGUCGAUGGUUUGUGGAGAAAUGUAACACUGGAUCAGAGCUGAGCUGAAUAAUAAGAAACACCUUCUCUAUAGUAUUGGUCCCCUCACACUGAUAAGUCCAUCUAUAAGAACUUCCUCCACAAUAUAUCAACCAACAUUGAGGACGGAGAGGCAGGUUUGGGUGUGAAACACAGGUUUUAUUGAGCAUCCUUUCUGUGUUAGAGCAUCUUCUCUGUGUUCCUUAAAUUACUUUUCACAAACUUGUGAGGGUCCUACUAUUACAUAUUUCUUUCUUUUUCCUUUCUUUCUUUUCUUUUUUUGUUUUAACAAAUGAGGAAACAGGCUCAGAGAUUAUCUAAUUUGCCAAGUUUACCUAGCAAUAUAUUUAUUACUCCCCACCACUACUACACAGAUUGUCUUCAGUUAUUUUUAUAUUUUAAAAAAGGUGGAUAGUAAUAUUAUUCCCAUUUUCCAUAUGAGAUAACUGCCCAGAGAGGCUAAGUAACUUGCCCAGAGUCACACAGAUAGUGUUUGAGGAAGAAUUUGAGCUCUUGUGCAUUGUAUAUCAUUGCUUCUUACUAAUAUAUUAUAAUGCAUGAGGAAUUUCAAACACACAGCACACAUACACACAGCAUUCACCGAGAACCCCAAUUUGAUUCAUUUUGAGAAGAGCAUUAGACUCAGAGACAGAACUCAGCUAUAAUCUUUUCUUUUUACCCAAGCUGAUUACAUACUUUGGUCAUAAUAAUUUAAUAUCUCUGAUCUUAUUUUUGCAUUUGCAAAAUGGAGGUUGCCAUGAGGCUUAAGAUGAGAUUAUGCCUGUGAAAGGGCUAUCUUAGUUGUCCAGAGGGCUACCUGCUACUCAAACCCAGGAGGCAAAUGCGUGCACUCUCUCUCUAAGACACCAUUCCUCUGGCACAUUUUGGGGACGGAUGACUUGAGCUCUCACUGUAAGUCAUGUCCCAUUUUCGCUCCAAUCUCAUUCCACUCGGGAAUGUCGGUCUUGCCAAGCCUGGCGUUAUCAGGAGACUGUGGUCAAGAACACAGGUACAAGUAUAUCAGAUGAGAACAUAUGUUUGAACUCAGGCACAGUUUUCACAAAAUGUUGCUUUCUGUUGCAGGCAGGGUAAGAGAAAUCGCCUUUAAAAUUCCCAUUAAAAAAGACUCUCAGGCUCCUCAGACAUCAAAUAACUCUCACAAGACAACAUUUUAAUGAUUUAAGUGUAAAUGAAUCAGAAACACAUGGACUGCAUUUCUUUUGGAAUACACAAAGGUUUUAAAACCAAAGGAGAAAGAACUUGGCAAAAUGCACACAGUGCUGCGCAGAGGGCCCUGCCCAGGAAAGACUCCCUGGAUUCAUGCUGCCUCUGAGCUCGCCCUCCCCGAUUUUAGGGGACACACUGGGAAAUGCAAUCAUCUGUUCUGGUUCUGGGCACAGAGGGAAGAGCUUGGAAGAGAAAGUCACCGUUCCCUCUUGUUCUCAAGUGUCAUAGAACAAUUAGGCCUCCCAGAAUAAUUUCCUGGCAGUGUUUUUCCAAGGCUGCCAGUGUUCAAUGGCAGGCAUUUGAAAUAUGUUUGAAGCCAAAGUUCUGCCAAUAUACAGCAGAUCUGAUAUGUGUGCUUCCCUGGGAUUUAGCCAAGACUCAGAGGAAAUCUGCAUGAGAACUGUAACUGGCUCAGUGAGGGAUCUCGGGAGAACCAGCGCAGAUCCACAUUGAGUCAGACGGCAUUUGCGACAGUGUCCGGUGCUUUUGAUGUGAACUCCUGGAUGUCAUUAUCAGAUUGUGGGUGGGGCAGGGGAGGUAUGUAAGGGACCGGGACUAGGAGAAGUGGACUCAGUGUCUGUGAGCUGUGUGUGACCUUAGGAGAGUCAUUUUCUUUCUUGGGGGAGGACAUCAGUUUGCUCAGCCAUCAAAUCCAUGCAUUGGACUCGGCUGAACUUACGGAGCACACUAAUGUGAACUUGAAGGUCGUGCAAGUGUGAAGGAGGCUCAGUGGAUCGUGAGACCACUGAAGAGUCAAGGUAACUUGAGUACCUUGUAUCUUGAGUACUCAAGGUAUCUAGAGUAGUCUUCGUCAUCUUGGCACUUGCUUUUUCUGUGGUCACCAUUCGUUACUCAGAAUUCCUUCAUAGAUAUUCAGGGGAGGGGGGAGAAAUAGCCCUUAAAGGGUUUCAAUGAGUUUUUUUUUUUUUAAGUUUGACAAAAAUGGUUUAAAAAUGAAUAUGAGGAACUAAUAGUUUAUUUAGAAUCAUACAAGUGUAUGGUGUUGGAGGUGGCCUGGCUGCUCUUGGGUUACGGUCAGAGGGGGGUUUCAGAGAGCUUACCCCUGUGGAAUACUGCUGCAGCAUUCCCACCACUGGAGGAUUUUGGUUUACAUGUUCUACCAAAGUAUUUAUUUUGUGUAACUCCUGAGUGCAAGUUUCUGGAAUUCCAUGAAUGUGUCCGACAAUGCAAAGAAUUUGGGUGAUAGGUUUUUUGGAAAAGCCCGAGAUCCAGGGCUCCCUAUAGAACAAGCUAAGUAACUGAUAAAUAGAUCCAAAGACCGUAGCUAGAGUUAAACUUUGGGUGGUUCAACAUAUUGACUAACUGUGUUGAAAGUAAUUUAAAAAAUGCCAAUCCUGGAGCUACGUCCCAGGAGAUUUAAAUUCAAUGAAUCUUUGUAGGGCAUCUGAAUCUGCAAUUUUAGAAUCUCCCCUGGUGUGAUUUUGCCAUUUUUGGUAAUGUAACAUAAUGGUACAUCUUAUAAUUGAUGGUGUCUUAGAUUUGAUGAGAUAAUACCUAGUAAUACCACACUCUUUCAUGUAUGUUUUUGCAUGUAAUAGUCACAUCUUUUUACAGAUGAAGACCACAUUGUUCAGAGAAAAUGAGUGUGUCUGUAAAGGAAUGAUCAUUGUCUAGAGUUCAGGCUCCUGAUCCCAAAUCCAAGGUUUUUUCCCCUCAUCUGCAGACUUCUGGUACUUCCUGUGGAAUUUAAAUAUUCAUGAGUCAUGCUGUCAUGGGAUUACACAAUUUUUCAGAGAAGGAAAAAAAAAUAGCUUACAUUUAAAAGAUGAACUCUUAGGCUCUGAUAGGGGCUAAUUAAGCCCCCCUUGAACUCAUAUGUUGACAUCGAAACCCCAGUACCUCGGACCAUGACUUUGGUGGCUUAUAAAGAGGUGAUUAAUUACAAUGGGGUCUAUGGAGUAGGCUCCAGUCCAACAUGACUAGUGUCUUCUGAAGGGAUGAAGACACAGUUAUGCAGGGGAAGACCACAGGAAGAAGACAGCAUUCUUCACACCCAGGACAAAAGUCUCAGAAGAAACCAAACCUGCAGGACUUGAUCCUGGACUUCAAGCCUCCAGAAUUCUGCAAGAAUAUAUUCAUAUAUAUUAAUUAACUCGUGAUUGCACUAAUUAAUAUGAUGAGUAAUUAAUAAUUAUUAGUACAUCAACAUACCAUUCACACCUCACUAAUUUUCUCACCUAAAUCCAUCCUGUACCCAUUAGGGUCCUGUCUACUCCCUGUGUCUCCCCUCCCUGGAAGUUCUCCAGGAAUUAGGGUCACAUGGAACAAGCAGACUCAACCACGGGCCAGGAGCCAGGAGCCACAAAAAGCAAACAAUCAGCUGGGAGUUCCACCAUUUUGGGGGACAGCUCUCAGAUCUGGGAGGAGUUAGGACCCUGGCUUCCCUAACUCCCUACAGCUAUUUCCUGAACAUUACUUUCCCACCCUCCUUCCAAAUUCUCCUGCUCUUUUUCCACUCUGGCUGUUCCACACCCUUCUCACCUCUGUCAUUACUUCACUCUUUCCAGAAGAACUUAGGUUUGUGGCACUGUUGUUCACUCUCCUUCCCAAUUCCAACCAAAAAACCCUGGGGACACUAGAGUCUCCAGUUCCAUCUCCAUCUUUGAAGAAAUAUUUGUUUCAGUUUUUCAAGAAAUGAAAAAUAUGUCAUUAAGCCUCAGUCUGAAAGGAUCUACUAAUCCACAAUUGGGACAUGUAGUAGAAGAGUUAUAUCUAGGAGCAUUUACUAAUCUUUCAGUAUAUCAAGGAAAAAAUAUCUUAAAAAUUACUGGAGAACAAAAGUUAAAUUGUCUACAAAAGAAUGAAGAUCAGAUUAACAUCAGAUUUCUAAAUUGCCAUCCAGAAAUAAGGGGAAAAUAGAGGAUCGUUUAAUGUGCAAAAGACAUUUAAACUUAUAAUCGUACACAAGUCAAAAGAUACUAUGUACAGUUGAAGAUGGAACAAGGAUAUAUUCAGACUUUAAAAUUUACCAUUAAAGACCUUUUCAGAAAGAAUUACUGAAAAAUGUGCACCAAGAGGGACAAAAAUUGUUAGUGUUGACAAUACUGUGGAGAAAUGGUGUUAUGGUUUAGAAGACAUGAGGUAUCCCCCAAAAGUCUGUGUGUGAGACAUUGCAAGAAAGCUUAGAGGUAAAAUGAUUGGAUUAUGACAGCCUUAACCUAAUCAGCACAUCAAUCCCCUGAUAGAUAUCAAUUGGGUGGUAACUAUAGAAAGGCAGGUUGUGGCUGGAGGAGGCAAGUUGUUGGAGCAUGCCCGUGGAGGGGAACAGUCUCUUUCUGCUUCCUGGUGGCCAUGUCUGAGCCACUUUCCUCCACCACACUCUUCUGCUAUUAUAUUCUGCCUGAUUUCAGGUCCAGAGCAGUGGAAUUAGAAAUCUAUGAAAUGAAACCUCUGAAACCAUGAACCCCAAAUAAAUUUUUCUUCCUCUAAAAUUGUUCUUGGCAGGUCUUUUGAUCACAGUAGCAAAGAAGCUAACUAACACCAAUGGGUGUAUUCAUACAAUGCAUGUGAGUGUAUAAAGUGACAGUUUUCUAAAGGGUGAUAUGGUUCUAUUAGUGAAAUAAAAAUGUGCUUAUCUUAAAAAUCAGCAAUUUUACUUUAAAAACACCCUCACAAUAUAUAAACAUUUUUGUUGUAGUAUUAUUUGUCAAGGAGAAAACUGGGCCUCAACAAAGAGUGGCUAGUUAUAAAAUGUUGUAUUCAUACCAUGAAAUAUUAAACACUAAUUAGAAAGAACAAAAAUGAUCUAUAUGAAUCAAUAUGGAUUUGACUCCAACCCUUUUUGUUGGGUGAAAAGGGCAGGUUGAGUAAUGUACAUAUCUUAAGUCCACUACUAUUAUUGUGUUCCUGUCCAUUCACCCAUUUAGUUUUGUUAAUAUGUACUUUUUAUAUUUAGAUGCUCCAAUGUGGAGCAUAUAUAUAUAUAUAUAUAUAUAUAUAUAUAUCUUAUAUAUUCUUGAUCACUUUAACAUUAUACAGUGACCAUCUUUGUCUUUUGUGACCAAUUUUGACUGACAGUCUAUUUUUGUGAUAGAAGUGUACCCUCCCCUACUCUCUGUUUACCAUUACGUGUGAUAUCUUUCACUAUCUUUUCAUUUUCACCUUAUGUGUAUCCUUAAAGGUGACAUGAGUCUUUUAAUAGGCAGCAAAUUAUUUCAUAUUGUUUUCUACAAAAAAAUCUUGUCUUGUCAUUCUAUCUUUCCACUGUAGAAUUUUAUUUACAUUUAAUAAAAGUUUUGACGGUAA
This is a long non-coding RNA of Marmota monax (woodchuck), 6848 nucleotides long. RefSeq lists it as uncharacterized. The record is from RefSeq and is a predicted model, not a curated record. NCBI's taxonomy places the organism in Eukaryota, Metazoa, Chordata, Mammalia, Rodentia, Sciuridae. The transcript has 2 exons.